Molecule: long non-coding RNA, 389 nt
Organism: Penaeus monodon (black tiger shrimp)
Lineage: Eukaryota; Metazoa; Arthropoda; Malacostraca; Decapoda; Penaeidae
Exons: 2
Source: RefSeq, a predicted model, not a curated record
GCCGCCCCUCCGUCAGCGCCUGCUUCUCCAUUACCUGUUCAUUUAGGGGUUUAGACUUUCAGAUAUUUAAAUGUGAUUCAGAGCGGGAGCUGCGAUGUCUGCUUUUGGAUUGGGAGCCGUUUCCACAUCACACAGCCGAUUUCUCCCACUUUUCGCUCUUCGCCUGAAACGCACCUUCAGCUGACCACGGAGAUUCUGAACCUGACCCUCCACGUCAGCGCGGUUCUGGUCCUGACGCCGAACGGUUUUCUCGAGCUGAUCGUACUGACGUUUGGCCAUCGACGUCUCCUUCUGCAGGCGGGUCACUUCCUCCUCCCGCGUCUACACCAGGAAAAAAGUUAUUCAUAUGUAAACACAGAACAAAAAUUACCUUUCCAAUCACUUGGGAA